GCCUUCAUGGUGUAGUGGUCAGCACGCUCGACGCGUAACCGAGAGGUCCGUGGUUCGAUUCCCGGCGAGGGUG
Molecule: transfer RNA, 73 nt
Filed under: Stegodyphus mimosarum
Lineage: Eukaryota; Metazoa; Arthropoda; Arachnida; Araneae; Eresidae
Rfam family: tRNA
About the family: Transfer RNA (tRNA) molecules are approximately 80 nucleotides in length. Their secondary structure includes four short double-helical elements and three loops (D, anti-codon, and T loops). Further hydrogen bonds mediate the characteristic L-shaped molecular structure. tRNAs have two regions of fundamental functional importance: the anti-codon, which is responsible for specific mRNA codon recognition, and the 3' end, to which the tRNAs corresponding amino acid is attached (by aminoacyl-tRNA synthetases). tRNAs cope with the degeneracy of the genetic code in two manners: having more than one tRNA (with a specific anti-codon) for a particular amino acid; and 'wobble' base-pairing, i.e. permitting non-standard base-pairing at the 3rd anti-codon position.
Source: Rfam by way of RNAcentral